Molecule: ribosomal RNA, 446 nt
Filed under: uncultured bacterium
Lineage: Bacteria
Description: SSU rRNA
Rfam family: Bacterial small subunit ribosomal RNA
Source: RNAcentral
AGAAUGAACGCUGGCGGCAUGCCUAACACAUGCAAGUCGAACGAAGCCUUCGGGCUUAGUGGCGCACGGGUGCGUAACGCGUGGGAAUCUACCCUUGGGUUCGGAAUAACAGUUAGAAAUGACUGCUAAUACCGAAUGAUGUCGUAAGACCAAAGAUUUAUCGCCCAGGGAUGAGCCCGCGUAGGAUUAGCUAGUUGGUGUGGUAAAGGCGCACCAAGGCGGCGAUCCUUAGCUGGUCUGAGAGGAUGAUCAGCCACACUGGGACUGAGACACGGCCCAGACUCCUACGGGAGGCAGCAGUGGGGAAUAUUGGACAAUGGGCGAAAGCCUGAUCCAGCAAUGCCGCGUGAGUGAUGAAGGCCUUAGGGUUGUAAAGCUCUUUUACCCGGGAUGAUAAUGACAGUACCGGGAGAAUAAGCUCCGGCUAACUCCGUGCCAGCAGCCGC